Molecule: small nuclear RNA, 102 nt
Filed under: Castor canadensis (American beaver)
Lineage: Eukaryota; Metazoa; Chordata; Mammalia; Rodentia; Castoridae
Source: RNAcentral
GUGCUAUCUUCAGCAGCACAUAUACUAAAAUUGCAACAAUACAGAUUAGUAUGCCCCCUAUGCAAGGAUGACAGGUAAAUUCAUGAAGCAUUCUAUAUUUAA